This is a long non-coding RNA of Pelobates fuscus (common spadefoot toad), 305 nucleotides long. RefSeq lists it as uncharacterized. NCBI's taxonomy places the organism in Eukaryota, Metazoa, Chordata, Amphibia, Anura, Pelobatidae. The transcript is spliced from 4 exons. The record is from RefSeq and is a predicted model, not a curated record.
CAUAUAGUAUGACAGUCAUGUCAAACGUUUUCCUUUUUGCGACUGGAUGCCAAUGAGGUUGGAUUCAGCAAACUGGGCUAGUACAUCUGUCUCCUAAGACCUACAUUCCUAUAAAGAUUUUCAGAAAAAAGGAGGACCAUCCAGGAUUAAAGCUUUAACAUUUUACAUAAUCCGCUGUCGAAUUUAAAGGAGAGUGAUGAGGUGGACAGAGGCUUUAAGAAUUGUGGUUAUAUUGGUUACGCUAAUUGCUACAUGGUACUUUGCUGAAUUUGUGUUUGCCAAAAAAUGGAAGAUGAACAAUCUUU